GAUGAACGCUGGCGGCGUGCCUAAUACAUGCAAGUCGAGCGAACGGACGAUAAGCUUGCGUUUCUGAUGUUAGCGGCGGACGGGUGAGUAACACGUGGAUAACCCUGCUCUUAGACUUGGGUAAGUGCGGGUAACCGGAGCUAAUACCGGAUAAUAUUUUGAACCGCAUGGUUCAAAAGUUAAAGACGGUUUGGCUGUCACUUCUAGCUGGAUCCGCGCUGCAUUAGCUAGUUGGUAAGGUAACGGCUUACCAAGGCAACGAUGCAUAGCCGACCUGAGAGGGUGAUCGGCCACACUGGAACUGAGACACGGUCCAGACUCCUACGGGAGGCAGCAGUAGGGAAUCUUCCGCAAUGGGCGAAAGCCUGACGGAGCAACGCCGCGUGAGUGAUGAAGGUCUUCGGAUCGUAAAACUCUGUUAUUAGGGAAGAACAUAUGUGUAAGUAACUGUGCACAUCUUGACGGUACCUAAUCAGAAAGCCACGGCUAACUACGUG
Molecule: ribosomal RNA, 497 nt
Filed under: uncultured bacterium
Lineage: Bacteria
Description: partial 16S ribosomal RNA
Rfam family: Bacterial small subunit ribosomal RNA
Source: RNAcentral